RNAcentral lists this unclassified non-coding RNA (1164 nucleotides) under Hevea brasiliensis (rubber tree). Lineage: Eukaryota; Viridiplantae; Streptophyta; Magnoliopsida; Malpighiales; Euphorbiaceae. The record is from RNAcentral.
UGGCAGACAACACCCUUCUGCUCUCUGCUUCAGUUCAGAGAAGAACAUUCUGCCUCUGAUCCUUGAAUUUUCUUAGAAUCAUCUCUCAUAUUUGUUGGACCUGCAGAAAAGCUGAAUUUCUUUCUUUGUUCCUCCUUAUUCUUUUAAAUUUCAGAAUUUUCUGUUAUCUUUUUUGACUUCCUAGUCUAAUCAAACUUUGCCAGACAAAAUCUCAGCCCAUCGUCUUUGAAUAUUUUCUCCAUCGAUUCUUGAACUAAUUUAAUGAAUACAGUCUUUUAAAAGCUCUCUCCAGUCCUGAUUACUUUCACUGCUGAUGCCAUUUUCUUUUGUUUUGCAAUUGAGUGUAGCUAACAAGUAAUUAGUAUGUGCUCAGAAACAAGCCCUCGAAUAUCAUUCUCCAGUGAUCUUGGCCAAGAAGAUGGCAUACAAAUCGAGCACGAGCCUCGAAGGGACACCACACUCCUGGAAUCAAAUUCUGAUUUCGAAUUCAGCAUUUGCAGCAACGUGUUAGACUAUGAAUCUUCUCUGGCAGAUGAGCUUUUCGCAGAUGGUAUGAUCCUUCCAGCCCAAGGACAGAGACAUGAACAUUCAAGAAAAGUUUCUCUUCCUUCUCUUCCAUGUCCUCCUCCAAGUGCUAAUGAGAGUUCAAAGAAAGAAAUAAUGGAAAUCAUGGUUUCGAAUUCAGGGUUAUUGGAAAAGCCUCAGUCCAAAUCAUUCUGGGGAUUCAAGAGAAGCAGCAGUCUGAAUUGUGAUAUAAAGAAGAGGCUAAUUUGCUCUUUACCACUCCUGUCGCGAAGCAAUUCGACAGGAUCAUCCGUGCCGUAUCCGAACCGAGCAAUGUUUAAAGAUGUGAACAAGCAAAAUUCCCAGAAGGAGCAAAGAUUAAAUUCCAAGGCAAAGAAGUUAUCAGCAUCAUCUGGUUCUACUUAUGUGUACACAUUUCCACAGAAGCCUCCAUUGAAGAAAAACUACGGUGGAUCUCAUGGAAAUGGUGUUAAGAUCAGUCCUGUGCUGAACGUGCCACCUCCUUACAUUACUAAAGGAGCUGCAAAUUUCUUUGGUUUGGGAUCCUUUUUGCGCAAUGGGAAAGAAAAGACCAGAAAAUGAUUGUUUAACUACUUGAUGAAAAUUUAGUGAUUUUAAAUUAUAUAUAGAUGAUGUGGG